GUCAUCGAUCCCUGCCAUCUAUGGAGCAAAGUAAUACAAACCGUCCGAUUAAAAGAUAAUCAAUGGUCAAUAUGACAAGUACACUACAGAUCCUUGUUUCACCUUCUCUUUUUUCACAAUCAUCUCUCAUCACCGAACAAUUAUCAUUUUCCUUCAAUCCUCUCUUUUGUUUAUUCAUCUCACCCAUCGUUUCUUAUUCCUUUUCACUCGAUUAGUGACAACUCACAGUUCUCACUCGAGCUCCGACAAUAUUCCUACAGACUCAACUCACAUUUUUCUCAUGAUUGACUCAAAUCCUCCAUGUCGAUGAAAAAAGCCGACUCAACUCACCGUUCUCUCAGAAUAUGUCAAGAUAGAAGAGAUCUGAUCAAGGAAUUAAGAAGUGGUCCUUCGAUGGGCUUGCGGCGAUGGAAAGGGCAAAUCUUUUGUGUAGCAUAUUAAGGUUUUAAGUUUGAGAGGAAGAAAGACGCACGGUAGCAGUUGUAGAGGGAAUCUCUUACUUUCUCGUGACCUAAGAAUCACACAAGAGUGUGAUCGUCAAAACGCAUAGCAGAUGAUCGUGAAGCUAACUGGGCCUCAUUUGCACCACUCGGCCCGUAUCCAGAAAACCAAUUUGAUCCAAUUGACUAAAGCUAAAUCGUAUACACAGUUUGGUUUCAAUUCGUGUGUUUAAAGUACAAGAGUUCUAUUGAUCAAUCUUUAAUAUGUACUUUCACUU
This is a long non-coding RNA of Arabidopsis lyrata subsp. lyrata, 718 nucleotides long. RefSeq lists it as uncharacterized. NCBI's taxonomy places the organism in Eukaryota, Viridiplantae, Streptophyta, Magnoliopsida, Brassicales, Brassicaceae. The transcript has 3 exons. The record is from RefSeq and is a predicted model, not a curated record.